This 229-nucleotide ribosomal RNA is filed under the name Vibrio parahaemolyticus VP551. RNAcentral describes it as "partial 23S ribosomal RNA". It matches the Rfam family "Bacterial large subunit ribosomal RNA", at positions 1 to 225 of the family's 2925-position model. Lineage: Bacteria; Pseudomonadati; Pseudomonadota; Gammaproteobacteria; Vibrionales; Vibrionaceae. The record is from RNAcentral.
GUUGUAUGGUUAAGUGACUAAGCGUACACGGUGGAUGCCUUGGCAGUCAGAGGCGAUGAAGGACGUAUUAACUUGCGAUAAGCCCAGAUUAGGCAGUAAAAGCCACUUGAGUCUGGGAUUUCCGAAUGGGGAAACCCAACUGCAUAAGCAGUUACUGUUAACUGAAUACAUAGGUUAACAGGGCGAACCGGGGGAACUGAAACAUCUAAGUACCCCGAGGAAAAGAAAU